AGGUCAUUUCAGAGAGGGCUUGUAGGGCUGUGAGCCAAGAGCUCUUAAUUCUGUGAUCAAAGAUUGAGGUUCUCCAUCAGAUGCUGUCGUCACUCAGUUGUGCUAUGGUCUUCUGAGGAGAUAUGAGA
Small nucleolar RNA from Cynocephalus volans (Philippine flying lemur), 128 nucleotides. RefSeq annotates it as small nucleolar RNA SNORA25. The record is from RefSeq and is a predicted model, not a curated record. Lineage: Eukaryota; Metazoa; Chordata; Mammalia; Dermoptera; Cynocephalidae. The transcript has a single exon.